RNAcentral lists this ribosomal RNA (641 nucleotides) under Kineococcus sp. I15A-00297. Its description in RNAcentral is "bacterial SSU rRNA". It matches the Rfam family "Bacterial small subunit ribosomal RNA", at positions 93 to 748 of the family's 1533-position model. Lineage: Bacteria; Bacillati; Actinomycetota; Actinomycetes; Kineosporiales; Kineosporiaceae. The record is from RNAcentral.
CAGUGGCGAACGGGUGAGUAACACGUGAGCAACCUGCCCCUGGCUCUGGGACAACCACUGGAAACGGUGGCUAAUACCGGAUACGACUCACCUCGGCAUCGAGUGUGGGUGGAAAGUUUUUCGGCUGGGGAUGGGCUCGCGGCCUAUCAGCUUGUUGGUGAGGUGAAGGCUCACCAAGGCGACGACGGGUAGCCGGCCUGAGAGGGCGACCGGCCACACUGGGACUGAGACACGGCCCAGACUCCUACGGGAGGCAGCAGUGGGGAAUAUUGCACAAUGGGCGAAAGCCUGAUGCAGCGACGCCGCGUGAGGGAUGACGGCCUUCGGGUUGUAAACCUCUUUCAGCUCCGAAGAAGCGCAAGUGACGGUAGGAGCAGAAGAAGCACCGGCUAACUACGUGCCAGCAGCCGCGGUAAUACGUAGGGUGCAAGCGUUGUCCGGAAUUAUUGGGCGUAAAGAGCUCGUAGGCGGUGUGUCGCGUCUGCUGUGAAAACUCAGGGCUCAACUCUGAGCUUGCAGUGGGUACGGGCACACUUGAGUGCUGUAGAGGAGACUGGAAUUCCUGGUGUAGCGGUGAAAUGCGCAGAUAUCAGGAGGAACACCGGUGGCGAAGGCGGGUCUCUGGGCAGUUACUGACGCUG